AAAAUGAAAAAGAAGACCAGAAAGGGAAAGAUAGUACUUGUUCUUGAAGAUUCCAUGAUCCUAAAGGAAAUGAGCUCAAUGUGGGUUCCCUACCUUUUGGUAUACUGGGGAUUUCCUUACCCCAAAACAUCCAUAUAAUAUUAUGUUAUCAAAAUACUAAAUGAAAGGAACAAAAUUAGCCGUCUGUGAGAGGAAUGUUGGAGAAAUCAUGAUGACAUAACUAUGUCUUACAUGCAAACGUGACCUAAUUUAUGAACCUCAUUGUGGCGAUGGACAAGUAAUGUAAUGACCUAAUCUGUAGGGAUGGCAAUUGGGACAGGGUAAAGGUUUAACGGGGCAGGGAAGGGCAAUGCUUAAAUAGGGCAGGGCGGGUCAAAGCUUAAAUUUUCAAUAAUUUAAAUAGGGCAGGGCAUGGACAGGUUGUGUAUUGGGUAAUAGCAGGCGGGUCCUUUAUUAAUCUCAUUCGCUUUCACAUUCUGAAAAUCACCUCCA
Molecule: long non-coding RNA, 492 nt
Filed under: Solanum tuberosum (potato)
Lineage: Eukaryota; Viridiplantae; Streptophyta; Magnoliopsida; Solanales; Solanaceae
Description: long non-coding RNA (STUB_LNC009619)
Source: RNAcentral